Molecule: ribosomal RNA, 495 nt
Filed under: uncultured Sphingobacteriales bacterium
Lineage: Bacteria; Pseudomonadati; Bacteroidota; Sphingobacteriia; Sphingobacteriales
Description: bacterial SSU rRNA
Rfam family: Bacterial small subunit ribosomal RNA
Source: RNAcentral
GCCCGCUCAGAAACUCAAAGGAAUUGACGGGGGCCCGCACAAGCGGAGGAGCAUGUGGUUUAAUUCGAUGAUACGCGAGGAACCUUACCUGGGCUCGAACGUAAGAUGACUGUAGGUGAAAGCUUACAUCUCUUCGGAGCAUUUUACGAGGUGCUGCAUGGUUGUCGUCAGCUCGUGCCGUGAGGUGUCGGGUUAAGUCCCAUAACGAGCGCAACCCCUACCUUUAGUUGCCAUCAGGUUAAGCUGGGGACUCUAAAGGAACUGCCUACGCAAGUAGUGAGGAAGGCGGGGAUGACGUCAAAUCAGCACGGCCCUUACGUCCAGGGCUACACACGUGCUACAAUGGUCGGUACAAAGGGUUGCCAAGCCGCGAGGUGGAGCUAAUCCCAUAAAACCGAUCGUAGUCCGGAUCGCAGUCUGCAACUCGACUGCGUGAAGUCGGAAUCGCUAGUAAUCGUGAAUCAGAAUGUCACGGUGAAUACGUUCCCGGGCCUU